GUCUAUAACUUAUAAGUAGCAUAUUGUGUCUCAGAUAGUGUGAACAAGAACCAAUGUAGUCAAUUAAGUAGAACUUCUAGCUGCGUGUGAUGGAACAAACCUACAAUUCCAGAAACUUGGGAGGCCAGAAAGGAGGUAGCUCAGUGGUAAAGUGUAUUGGGUUCAAUCCCCAGUACCUAAAAAAGUAAAGUUUUACACUUUUCUUCUUCCUUUCUUUUCUUUGGAAGUGUUGGAGCUUGAACCCACAUUCUCAUGCAUCCUAGGUAAGUGCUCAACCACUGAGUUAUACCCCCAGCCCAAAACACAAUCUUAAAAAAAAUUUAGGGGAAAAUGAACUUUCUAAGGGUUAUUUGAUUCAAAGCAGAUAUCAUAUCAGCAACAAAUAAAAAAGGGAAAACAAAAUAUUAUCUUGUGGAAAAGGAAAACACCUGUCAUAUGUAAAGUAUGCAAUUCUAUCAGUCAUUCAGGAAUGAAGGUGAAAUAAAGCCAUGUUCAGAAAACACACGAGAUAUUAGAAUUUGAAUUUUAGGAGACUCUUAAGUGAGUAAAUUGAGUUUAGAAUCAGAGUAUGUUUUCUCUGAUGAUGAAAUAUUUGAGCUUAGAAAUUGUUUGUAUCUUAUUAAGCUUGGUAUCUUCUAAAGUCCUUAAUAAAUUCAGAAUGAAUGGAGAAAUGAAAGAAUGUAUGCCUAAAAAAAAUAAAUGGAUAGCUAAAUGCUAAAACUACAUGCCACAUAGUCAGUAGUAUGAUUCCUUAUGAUGGAUUUAUUUUUAAUGGGAUGAUUUUUCAAUCCAUUUUUAUCAUUUUUUUUUUUCAUUUCUGCCUUUAUUUCUAG
This 833-nucleotide long non-coding RNA is filed under the name Marmota monax (woodchuck). The record is from RNAcentral. Lineage: Eukaryota; Metazoa; Chordata; Mammalia; Rodentia; Sciuridae.